Molecule: long non-coding RNA, 511 nt
Filed under: Manihot esculenta (cassava)
Lineage: Eukaryota; Viridiplantae; Streptophyta; Magnoliopsida; Malpighiales; Euphorbiaceae
Description: long non-coding RNA (MESC_LNC002796)
Source: RNAcentral
AACAUGCAUAAACCCUUAACCAUGCACAAAGGAGCUUAACAACUAGAUUAAACUCCAAAAACAACAUCCAGAGCAUGCAUAAACAGCUUAUGACCCACAUAAGCCAAAACCAACAAAACUAGCUUAAACCUCACUCGCUCUUCCCCAAUCAUGCAUACACUCCCCCACAUGCAUAAACUAGCUCAACACUUCACCAUAACAUCACAUAAACAUACAUUGGGCAUAAAACCCACAAAAAUCCUAACAUGCAUAUCUACCCAUACUCAACCAUUAAAACUUCAUAGAACCUCAUUAGAACACAAGGAAAGCAAGGAUCUACACUUACCUCUUGAAGAUCGAGGGCUGGUGCGACCCAAAGCUUGAGGUGUGGAGAAUCCAAACUCUUAAAGUCUCCAAGCUCUCCAAACCUUGAUCCAAGCUUGAAAACUCUUCAAAAUAGCCAUAAAACUCAUGAAAACAUGAAGGAGAUGAAGGAAAAACAUGAAAACGGCCAAAGGAGGACAAAAACUCA